AAAAAAAACUAAAAAAACUCUCUCCCCUCUCUCUUUCUCUAUUCCUCUCUCCGGCCAGGGGUGCGGCGGCCGGAGGGCCAAAAAAAUCUCCUUUUCCAGCGAUCUAAAAGCAGGUACUCUUCCCUUUUUUUUUAACUCUCUUUGUAUAUAUAUAUAUAUGUUAUGUAUAAAAACUUGUAAAUGGAUGAGUGGUUUCGAAAUAUAAAAAAAUAAAAAAAAGAAGAGACCUUGGAUCCUUCUCUGCCUUUUUUGCUUCAAUCUGUUUCUCCUUUUCUUUAUAUUUCUAAAUGAUGUGUUUACAAAAGAAAAUAGGGGGGGGGGGAAGGCCCAAAACGAUAGCCGAAUUCGGCUUUUAUACAUCUGUUUUAGUGCUGUCAUUUCUCUUUAAUUGUUUGCAGGCACUCGAUGGCAUGACAAUGGCGAUGGAGCAGAGGCAAGUGGAGGGCUUGUACACUAAUAUUUAUUUAAUUCAUCAAAUAAUAAUCAAAUUACAAAAUGAAUUAUACCAUUAUAGAUAAAUCAGUUAUAGUGUUUUAUUUAAUUCAGUUAUAGUGCCGAAUAAUAAGACAUGGAUUCUAAACCACUAGAAUUAUUGAUAAUCAUAGAUCUACAAAACCAAACCCAAAAUUAUAAUGAUAGAAUUAAUAAGCAUCCGAUAUUGAAUGGAAAGACUGGAAGUGAAGACAUCAAAUAAUGCUACACAUGAAAAUCAAGUUGAAGAACUAGCAUGGAGUCCAACAAUUUCCCCUGACUUCUGAGAUUGAAAUUUGGCUUCAUCAUCCAUAUACAGAUCAUGCUCCUUGAGUUGCAGCAGAGAGAUAGCUUGGAGACGAUUUGCUACUGGUCUUUUCCGGGAAUGAAACUCUUGAGACGCAGACUUCAUUGUUGGUCGGAACUUUGGGUUCGACCUUAAGCAAGCAAAGGCCACUGUUGCAGCAAAAACAAUAUCCCUUGCAACUCUUCGAUCGCUUGGAAGCGAUAAACGUGGAUCUAAAAUAUCACUUAACAUAAUAUUCUUGGAAACUGAUGCCGAUAGUGAUACCAAGAGUUCACCAGGAUGUUUUCCCAUGAGUGUUUCAAGUGCCAAUACUCCAAAACUAUAGACAUCGCAUUUUUCAGUUACAACCAUAGUAUAAGUGUACAAGCCCAAUUUUUAACCGAG
This 1162-nucleotide long non-coding RNA is filed under the name Gossypium barbadense (sea-island cotton). Its description in RNAcentral is "long non-coding RNA (GBAR_LNC019003)". Lineage: Eukaryota; Viridiplantae; Streptophyta; Magnoliopsida; Malvales; Malvaceae. The record is from RNAcentral.